UUUUUCUAGUUGUUUUAUUUCAUUUUGAACUACCCGUUCAUGUACAAUUAGAAUAAAAACACAAUUUUAUUUUUAAAAAUGUAUUUUGUUUGGCACAAAAUAACAACAAAAGUCAAAGGUUCCCAUGAAUGCAUGCACCAAAGAUGAUGACAGAAACAUGUAUAAAAACUGUGACGCAGACAGUGUGGAACAGGCCCAAACUGUUCAAAUCAGCUGCAUUCAGAUGCUGCCUCGGUUGGCUUGCUCCUUCAAACCUGGCUAAAAAAUUUUUUUGCAUCUUUUUUUUGUAGUCUACAGUGGGGUUUGGAUUAAAGGGCAGCAGACCUUGAGACGAUCCACCCAGCCAGACUGACAGGACCAGCUCAUCACAGCGGGUGCUGUCGCCCCAGGAGGGGAGGAAGCGAGCCGAAAUAGGAACCAUGCUGGCCCAGCUUGGACUUAAGGCUGCUCCUGGCUAAUGUCCGAUCUGGAAAUGAGAUUCAGGCUGGUCAAACAACUUGAAAUCAGAGACUGUUGUAUCCACAUCUUUACAGAGACCUGCUUCAUCAAGCGCUCGUCAGGCGGACUGUGUUCCGCGCAGACAGAACGCAGGACGAGAGGAGGCGGACUCUGUCCAUCGAUGAGGCUUGGUGCUCAAAUGCAGUCAAAGUGGAUGGACGCAGUUUCUUUUUCACUAUCUCACUAUCUUGUUGCUGCUGUUUACAUUCAACCAGAUGCAAAUUCCCUGGGUGUAUACUAUGAUCAGAUGGCAAAGUGGCCUGGCUUGGUCCAUGACUCCCAAGUCCUUCGGGCCUGUACAAUUACCCAGCGACUAUCUGAAGGUGAAUACUCUGGCGUGUUGCUGGAAGACAAGGGUUAUGCCUGUCAGCCGAGUACAAGGCUGACCUGCUCGGACGUGUUUGGCGUGAACAGACCAUGCAGCAUGCCUGUUGGAAGCAUAAGGUUGGGAGACACGACUGAGCAGAGCACAGAGUUGGAGAAACGCGGUUUGCAAACUUUACAGCUUGGAUGAUGACGGGGAUAUUACGGGCGAACUGAUGAAGAUCACAACACGAUGUGGCAUACCUGCAGCCCGUGCAAAGAUCGUCCUGGAGGGAACAGAGGUCCUAACGGAUGUGGAUAUUCCCAGAGCCUGUGCCUUGAUAAUGGGGCUGAUAUACGCACUCAACCUCAGCUACCCAAAAGAACUGAAAAAUACUUUUGAAGUGUUUCAAAAGAUAUUCCUCGAGUUGGACGUUCUGAAAGCAAGUCCUAAGGUAAUGUUGCCAAAAUAUAAACUGCUGUGCUAAAACAAAAAAUGUGAGGAGUUAAAGAGACAUUGAAGCUGUCCUCUAAUUAAAGAGGAAAUGUUGCACUGUUAUUUGCAAUGUGUUGUUUACAUGCUUGACAUGGACAGCCCAGUUAAACCCAGGACUGAAGUUAGCUAACAGAAAGGAAGAGGAUCCUCUGAAUGAAUUAAUGAAUGACUCUUAUUAAAGACAACAAAAAGGAGCUCUAAGUCUAGAUUGUUAUUUAAUUGUAAUGACACGUGUUGAUCAACCCUGACCUCAAGGUCCCCUUUGUAUAGCAGUCUUGGAGCUUUCGAUUGUAUCACAUGCUCUUCGUCAGCAGACGGAGAUCGCUCAGUUGUUGUGGAAUUGAAGAUGUUCAGAUUUUCAUUUUUUGAGCACUUUAAGGACUUCUCAUCCAUGUUGGCUUAAAGUUCUUAUCAUAAGUUUAUUUGUGAAAUUGAAAAAUGCAGUUAGCAAAAAAAUCCACCACAGUGUCCAAGGAGCUGCUGUUUCCAAGGUCAGGAAUGAACUUUCAAUUUUAACUUAAUGACAGAUAUAUACGCCUAGCAGCCCUGUUAGGGAACAUUACAGUGGCAAAAGCUCUCUGUUCUCAUCAGACAUCAAGUGUACAACAUUUUCAUUUUCAAGGCGUAGAAGUAGAAAGUCUGAUUUUUUGUCAUGUUCUACUGCCGGAUAUGGUGAAAGUUUCAGAAGAACAUUCUUUUUAAUAAAAAUGACCUACUGCAGCUUUAAAGAACAAGAAGUUUUACUUCAAAUAUGGUUUUAAAAAAUGAACUACAAAACAAACUAAUGGUUUUGAUAUCCCAUUAUGCUUUGAAUGCAUGAUAAGUUUGGUUUUAAUUAUGUGUGUGUACUGUUUGUGCAAACAUGUCUGUAUAUAUAUGUAAAAGUGAGCAUACGCAGAUACAUGCAUUUACAGUGGAUAUAUAUACAUUCAUAUAUACAUGUCUGUGUGUAUACAUGACUAAAGCUUACUUAUUGCCUGGACUGUGGAGCUUGUUCAUAAAUGUUAUAAACUUUUGAGAAGAGUAUACCUAGUAAACUACAGCUUCUGAAUCCACAUUAUCUUUUUACAGAGUCUGUGUUUGCUUAUUCUCUGUCAUCUGAGUUUGAUUAUCCAACAGCAUAGCUAGUGAACAUUGUCUACUCUAAAAUUUUUGUUGUUGGAGCUUAGAUAUCAAAUGGCAAAGUGAAUUUUAUUGUAUACCGACAUGUACUGAAUAAAAUAGGUAGGACGUUGUCUGAUGAUUAGUGGAGUGUAGGUGUCCUUAACAGAGAAUGACGUCACACUCCCUGUUCCUGUGUUGAUCCCCGAGCAUUGUUUACUUCUCCAGUCCAGCCGUACAUGCAUGUGUAUCCCUCAGUGUGCAACUGUUGGCUUUGAAGAAACUGCUGUUUUUCUCAUCUUUCUCUGUGAAUUGAGGAUUUAUUUCAACCAAAGCAGAGCUGGUUAUUGUUGGAACAGUGGAAAGACUAACAAAGAUGGUUUUAUUGAGAUUUAUUUUGUUUCUGACAACUUUGAAUGAGGGAUGUUCCGAUGAUAUGCAAGUUUGACUUAGUCUAUGGAGUCUGGUGGCGAGUGAUAGGGGCUGUUUCUGGUUAAACUAAAGGGAUCCUUUCCAUAAUGUUGUCACACAACAAUCUGAAUCCAAAGGCAAAAACAAAAACUUUUAGUGGACGCACUUUGACCAACGCAAGGAUUACGACGUGUUAUGUUACAGGAAUGAGCCGAGAAAGACAGAAAGACGCUUUGUGUUGGUGGCUUGAAGAUAGUUGAUUGUUGAUUCUCAUUCUAAAUGUUGGUAUUCAACGACCUAGGAAUGAGACUCAACAAUCUUUCUCAGCUCUGAUUGGUUUUUGUCAUUGAGGCCCGGUGGAUUCUUGGAAAUACCAUUAGGAGCACUAGGAGGAGCCAGAGGAAGCUGCUGCAGCUGUAAUGCUAUUGCUGGAUAAAGUGAUCAGGGGGUUGACACAAGAGAAGUUCUCACCAUAACUUUUAGGAUUCAUCCUUUGCAAAUUUCAGAACAUUUCAUGGAAAUCAUUUUUUAAACGGACCAAAAAAUGAUGUCAAAAUGAUGAGCAAUCAUUCUCUCUGCUUCUCUUUGUUCAAAAAGGAAUGAAGAAACUGAACAUCUGAGACAAGACAUACUGUAUACCCAUAAUUCCCUCAUUCUCUCUAUAGGAUCCUGUCUCUCUCCAUGGUAAUCUCUUCAUUACUCUGAAUCUUUUUGUUUGUCUGUUCAGGUCCAGAAACCUUCUAGUGAAUCUCACAUGGAUAUGCUGUAGAGCACAGGCAGCUGUAAUGACACAACAUUCAGCUGACGUUGCUCUUUGGGAAUAUAUUUAUCUCUUCAGGUAGUGGAGAGAGGGCAUCAAUAACCUGCAAUCAAUUAGAGUGAUGGGUGAUAAAACAGAAUACACUCCUUGUAAACAGCACGAGUGAGAUGUAGCAUCACUCAGCAUUGGCUCACACUCAUAGCCUGCUGUAAGCUUGCUGCAGAGCCAAAGAUUAUGUGAAUAGAACUGGCAGGAGAAAAACAAACCUUGACCUUUGACUCCACAGGUUGUAUGACAUGUUGAAGUUGGUUCAAGUAGAGUUGUAUUGGAGCUUAAACGUGUGUGCUCCUGCCCUCUUUCCAAAGGAAGACAGGUCCCUCCCAGCCAUUGUUCUCCUCACACAGAGGUCAUCAACAUCAUCAUGGUGGUCCUGCGGCACAGGAAGAAACAAUGACACCAGGGGAGAGGGGCUUCCUAUGGAGGCUGGGGAUUCAUAGUGACUUAAGAGGUUAGCAUAAGUCAGCCUGUAAACAUUUACUUUAGAAAAUGUGCAUUAGGACUACCAGUAGGGGGUUUAGUGACAAAACAAAUACCAACAUAUGUCAAUUGAAGUUAUUCAUUUAUUUAUUUCUGUAAAUUCUGUAGUUACACAAAAGGAUACCACUGUUACCACUGCUGCUUUGUCUAUUAGUACAGUACAGUGUUGAUGAAUUGUUGAUUAAUAGCCACCAAAGUACAGCACCAAAUGUGUAUUAUUUCCUCCUGUUUGAGUAACGUUUGUUAAUAAUAACAGUGACCAGCUGACCUUUCUGUUUACAACAAGACUUCAUAUUUGUGUAUGUUAUAUAUUAUAUCAGUAGAAAUGGCCUGAAAUGACACAUGAAAUAACUUAAGGCAUUGGCGCAUUAUUCAUAUAUAUAUUGACACAGAAACUAAUGGGCCUGGGGUUGAACAGUGUUACCAGCUGUACAAUAAUCGUCAUAUUUAAUUAAAAAGCAUAAUAAAAUCAGCAUUGUCAUGUUUUGUCAGUUCAAAAAAAUCAGCAUACAUGAUAGGAUGGGCUGUCUGUCCUGUAGCCUCCAUAAUGAAAGUUGACCUGUAGUCCAUUUCAGCCAAUUGAACUCAUGGAUAUAUUGUGAAAAGGCUGUAUAGGUCUGCGCAGUUCUGGG
Molecule: long non-coding RNA, 4738 nt
Filed under: Dicentrarchus labrax (European seabass)
Lineage: Eukaryota; Metazoa; Chordata; Actinopteri; Moronidae
Description: lncRNA (ENSDLAG00005031939.1)
Source: RNAcentral